UCGAUUUUAGUUCAGCUGGUUAGAAUAAAUGUUUUUGGUACAUUCAGUCGGUGGUUCGAUUCCAUCAUGUCGAU
Molecule: transfer RNA, 74 nt
Filed under: Paludibacteraceae bacterium
Lineage: Bacteria; Pseudomonadati; Bacteroidota; Bacteroidia; Bacteroidales; Paludibacteraceae
Description: tRNA-Gln
Rfam family: tRNA
About the family: Transfer RNA (tRNA) molecules are approximately 80 nucleotides in length. Their secondary structure includes four short double-helical elements and three loops (D, anti-codon, and T loops).
Source: RNAcentral